Molecule: ribosomal RNA, 501 nt
Filed under: uncultured bacterium
Lineage: Bacteria
Description: bacterial SSU rRNA
Rfam family: Bacterial small subunit ribosomal RNA
Source: RNAcentral
AUUGAACGCUGGCGGCAGGCCUAACACAUGCAAGUCGAACGGUAACAGGCCUUCGGGCGCUGACGAGUGGCGGACGGGUGAGUAAGGUAUGGGGAUCUGCCUGAUGGAGGGGGAUAACCACUGGAAACGGUGGCUAAUACCGCGUAAUGUUGCAAGACCAAAGUGGGGGACCUUCGGGCCUCACGCCAUCAGAUGAACCCAUAUGGGAUUAGCUAGUAGGUGGGGUAAAGGCCUACCUAGGCGACGAUCUCUAACUGGUCUGAGAGGAUGACCAGUCACACUGGGACUGAGACACGGCCCAGACUCCUACGGGAGGCAGCAGUGGGGAAUAUUGGACAAUGGGGGCAACCCUGAUCCAGCCAUGCCGCGUGUGUGAAGAAGGCCUUAGGGUUGUAAAGCACUUUCAGUCAGGAGGAAGGGUGCAAGGUUAAUAGCUUUGCACAUUGACGUUACUGACAGAAGAAGCACCGGCUAACUCCGUGCCAGCCGCCGCCGUAACAC